This 497-nucleotide ribosomal RNA is filed under the name uncultured bacterium. RNAcentral describes it as "partial 16S ribosomal RNA". It matches the Rfam family "Bacterial small subunit ribosomal RNA", at positions 28 to 507 of the family's 1533-position model. The record is from RNAcentral.
GAUGAACGCUGGCGGCGUGCCUAAUACAUGCAAGUCGAGCGAACGGACGCGAAGCUUGCUUCUCUGAUGUUAGCGGCGGACGGGUGAGUAACACGUGGAUAACCUACCUAUAAGACUGGUAUAACUUCGGGACACCGGAGCUAAUCCCGGAUGAUCUUUUGAACCGCAUGGUUCAAAAGUGAAAGACGGUCUUGCUGUCACUUAUCGAUGGAUCCGCGCUGCAUUAGCUAGUUGGUAAGGUAACGGCUUACCAAGGCAACGAUGCCUAGCCGACCUGAGAGGGUGAUCGGCCACACUGGAACUGAGACACGGUCCAUACUCCUACGGGAGGCAGCAGUAGGGAAUCUUCCGCAAUGGGCGAAAGCCUGACGGAGCAACGCCGCGUGAGUGAUGACGGUCUUCGGAUCGGAAAACUCUGUUAUUAGGGAAGAACAUAUGUGUAAGGAACUGUGCACAUCUUGACGGUACCUAAUCAGAAAGCCACGGCUAACUACGUG